CCUACGGGUGGCUGCAGUGAGGAAUAUUGGUCAAUGGGCGAGAGCCUGAACCAGCCAAGUCGCGUGAGGGAAGACGGUCCUAUGGAUUGUAAACCUCUUUUGCCGGGGAGCAAAAAGCGGUACGUGUACCGCAUCGAGAGUACCCGGAGAAAAAGCAUCGGCUAACUCCGUGCCAGCAGCCGCGGUAAUACGGAGGAUGCGAGCGUUAUCCGGAUUUAUUGGGUUUAAAGGGUUCGUAGGCGGGUGGUUAAGUCAGGUGUGAAAGUUUGGGGCUCAACCGUGGAAUUGCAGUUGAUACUGGGAUCCUUGAGUGCGGUAGAGGUAGGCGGAAUGCGUGGUGUAGCGGUGAAAUGCUUAGAUAUCACGCAGAACUCCGAUUGCGAAGGCAGCCUGCUGGCCUGUAACUGACGCUGAUGCACGAAAGUGUGGGUAUCGAACAGGAUUAGAUACCCUUGUAGUC
RNAcentral lists this ribosomal RNA (460 nucleotides) under uncultured bacterium. Its description in RNAcentral is "partial 16S ribosomal RNA". It matches the Rfam family "Bacterial small subunit ribosomal RNA", at positions 338 to 795 of the family's 1533-position model. The record is from RNAcentral.